This is a long non-coding RNA of Anolis carolinensis (green anole), 11763 nucleotides long. RefSeq lists it as uncharacterized. NCBI's taxonomy places the organism in Eukaryota, Metazoa, Chordata, Lepidosauria, Squamata, Anolidae. The record is from RefSeq and is a predicted model, not a curated record. The transcript has 2 exons.
UUCUUCUCCCUUCCCUUCCCUCCUUCUUGUUGGGAAUCUAUGAGCGGUUAGACUCAAAAAUAACCCUCUUUCGGGGGCGAUUCUUCAAAAAUACAAGAGAGUGGCAGAACUAUGAUUCAUAAACAGCAGAAACUUACGUAUGGUGAGAUUGGAGAAGCCUUUGUUUCUUAGGAUGGCAAAGGAUUGCAAAGUCUCCUUGAAAGUUCAAAAAAGCAUUUAUUGAGGUAAAAAGAAAUCCAUUGUAGGUAGAAAAAGGUUCUUGGAGCUAACUAGCUCUCUAGGCUAGCAUCUAAGGAAGGUAAGUAGGUAAAAAUAACAAAAUAUCUAAAUAGCUACAUUUUGCGAGGAUAGUGGGCAAAAUGUGUCUUUCUCAGGUAGAAGACAAAGGAGGAAGAGAUAUGCCUGACCGCAUGGUCCAAGCCUUUGGGGCAAUUAACAUUCCAAUCAGGAAGUUGCCUCAUCCCUAAAGGGUUCACAUUACUAUAUCAACAAGGUGAGGGAGUGGAUAUAAACAGGAAAGCAAGAGAGAAACCAGCAAGGACCUAUCUAGGCAUGCUUGGAAUAUAGAGAGAGGGUUCCCUCAGUCUGAUCCUAUCCACUACAUAACUAAUUGAGACUUGUGCAGUCCAGGAUGAUAUCCAAGACUUCCUCCUUUUCUUUCCCCCUUUCCUUUUCUUCCCUCCUCCGUCUUCCUUUCCCUUUCUCCUCCCUCAUCCUUCCUUCCUUCCCUUCAUUUUUCACUUUCUCCUUCCCUUCCCAUCCCUUCCUUCCCUCCUCCCUCCCUCCUUCCCAUCCCUUCCCUCCUUCCCUUCCAAUGCACAGGAAGGGCCUCUGUGCUGGUGUCUCGCCUCCUCGCCAGGGCAUCUCACCUCUGGGUGAUUAAUUAUCCCCUGAGCAUGCUGACUUUUUCACCUCCAGACAUAAUUCAAAGUUGCGACAAAAAAGCCCUGUGUUUUUCUUCUCCCUGGUCCAUUUAAUUAGUUACACAUGUCUAAUAGAGAGAGAGAGAGAGAGAGAGAGGGACCCCCGCCUUGGUCGGCCGUUGCUCGCUUCCUUCCUUCCUUCCUUCCUUCCUUCCUUCCUUCCUUCCUUCCUUCCUUCCUUCCUUCCUUCCUUCCUUCCUUCUUCUUUAAAGGGAUGAGGCUUUCAUUACCUUCCCAGGGAUCCUGUGCUGUGCCAUCCCUCCCUCCCCUCUCUUCUUCCUUCCUUCCAUCCUUCCCAUUCCUAUUCAGGCCAUGGACGCAAGAAGCAAACCCGGUAGUGUCUUCCUCAACACCUGAGCCAUUCACCUGGAAAGGUGCGGCAUCCCUUCUUGAAAGGAGCAGCUCUCUGAUGAUAUCCUGAAGGCUAUCUAUCUAAUCUAUCUAUCAUCUACAUAAUAGUAUAAUAUAACUAGCUGUGCCCGGCCACGCGUUGCUGUGGUGUAGUCCUAAGUGGGGUUUUCUUCGUGGCAUUCAAGGUGGCCUAGAAAGGAUUCCCCUAGAUACGAAGCAGCCAGGCUUUGAAGCUGCAAGGCUAUUAAAUGGUAUUCAAGUUGACCAACAAUGGAAUCCACUAGGUAUGACGCAGCCAGGCUUUGAAGCUGAAAGGUCACUCCUUGGAAAGUGAUGAGUUUUGUGGCCAAAUUUGGUGUGAUUUGGCCCAGUGGUUUUGUUGUUAACUCGGUCCUAAUUAUGCACAUUACAUCUUUAUAUAUCAUAUUACAUAGUGUUAUUAUUCAUGUGUGUAUAUCUAUCAUCUAUAUCUAUAUCUAUAUAAUAUAAUAUAUAUAAACAUUGAGUUACGUAUUGUUAUUAUUUAUGUGUUUCUAUAUCUAUGUGUGUGUAUGUGAAUGAUUUUGGAAUACUUGUCCAUACGAGAUCAUUUGGAGUUGAGACACAGGUCUAAGCACAACAUACAUUGAUGGAAAAAAAAACCAGGAAAAACUCAGCCGGUCUCAGGACCUCAAGAUUGAACUUCAAAGACUCUGGCAGAAACCAGUGCAGGUGGUCCCGGUGGUGAUGGGCACACUGGGUGCCGUGCCAAAAGAUCUCAGCCGGCGUUUGGAAACAAUAGACAUUGACAAAAUUACGAUCUGCCAACUGCAAAAGGCCACCCUGCUGGGAUCUGCGCGCAUCAUCCGAAAAUACAUCACACAGUCCUAGACACUUGGGAAGUGUUCGACUUGUGAUUUUGUGAUACGAAAUCCAGCAUAUCUAUCUUGUUUGCUGUGUCAUAAUAAAAUAAUAAUAAUAUUACAUGCCUGUCCUUGUGGCUUAAGACAGGACACAACGUCUUAAGACGAAGUGACAAAACACUAUUGAAAACACAUAUAACAACGUGCUUUUGCCACCUCUGCAGGUCAACGUUGCCUCCCCCCCUCCUCCUCCUCCAGGCUGUCACUCGGCUUGAUGCUCGCUUCUCUGUUGCCAUGGCAACCGUAGGUGAUGGUACCUGGCCGGCAUCCAUCCAUAGGCCCUUUGGCAUCACAAAAGGGCCGGCCUCUGACAACCCUCUCAUUGGUCCUCAUGCUGCAUUCCCAAGGCAGGCAGAGAAAUUUAAUGGCUGCUGCUUUCAAAGGAAGAAAUAGUGGAACCUAUUGGGAGGGAGGUGAAGAUGCCAAUGUGGGUGUUGGUCCCCAUAGAAUCAGAUGCAUGCGCUAUCCCCAAGAAGCAGCACACCUGGCAACGGACUUUGGCUUCUGAUGGCACCAGGAGACACAGAAAUAUACUGGAAGCAAAGCUGAAAAGAUGUAGUCCUCGAUUGCUGGAAAACUCUGCAAAGAAUCGUCACAGUUCUCUUUUUUCUGCACAAAAGUCCAACGUGUGAAUUUUCUGCGAGAAAAAGUCCCCAAUUACAAAUAGUCUUAUGAACAUUUUCAGCAAAAAACCCCCCUUAUUUUGCACACCAUAAGUCCUAGAGGUUGAAAAAUGAUGAGUAGUGCCCACCGUGCAAUGAAUCCAUAGGAACUGAGCACAUAUCAGAAUAAGUGUAAUUGACUCAACAGAUGAACCAUUGGACUAGACCAGAGAAACCCAAUGCACGGUUGCUGAAAGCGCUUGGAGGAAUUCAACAUGAACUCUCUGUUUAGAACUUACCCACCUCUCCUCCUUUUUUUAGUAUAUCAUAAACCCAGGAAUUCGUCAACGUUUACAAAAGUCUCUGGGAGGAUAAAAAUUCACUUUAUAUACAAAGAGCUGUUCCCUGCCAACCUUUUGCUUUUGAAACCGGGCGGCUUUUUGCCAAAACGUGGUCUGGAGAAUGAUUUAGUGGUGAUCCCAGUGAUUCAGUUUGGGAACUAACCAUUGGAUCGGGCCAGAGAAAACGAACAUGCUCAGAAGAAUCGGGCUUCUCGAAACAAACCCUUUACGCAUUGUGAGUUAUGCACUUUGCAAAAGGAGAUUUCUGGGUCUGCAUGCACACAGGGGGCAUUUUUGCACAGAUUUCUGUGUUUAUGUGCAUACAGGGGGGAUUUCUGCACAGAAAUGUCAGGUCAAGGGCUACAGGUGUCUGGCGCUUGAGAUCUGCUUCCCUAAACGAGAAGGUAGGAAGUUGGACCCUUUAUGGGAUAGUGUGUGUAGGGUAUGUCUUGAGGAAACAGAUAACAAUUUUAAUGCCUCGUGAAGGGCUCCAAAAUGUCUAGAGAGAGGCUGAUUGUCCAUCUCGGCUCCCUCUCCAGAGCAAACACAGCUUCCAUCCGCCGGGGCCUUUCUGGCUUCCCACUCGCUGCGCAGCCAAUGCCGGAGGCUACGGGAAUAUUUAUGAGGCUUGUUAAACCUUCAGGACUUGGGCCUAAUUGUCUGCCACCAAGCCUUCCUCCUCCUCCUCCUCCGCUGCCCCCAUCAUCCCUGAGGGAAGGAGGCCUUUGAUUUAAGAUCCUUUUCCAAGCUGGGCGUUGGCACUCGGAGACAAAUUAACAAUGUGUGUGAGGAAGGCCAAAGGAUGGAUAAUGGCAGGUCUCUUCUCUGAAGCUUGGACUCCAAGGGGAAAAUUCCAUCUCAGUGGAAGGGCUACCAGAAGGUUCUCUUGAGCCCACAUCAAAACCAUUCUGCCUUUCUUUUGACUGCGACUGCAGUUGGAAGACCCAGUCCCUGCAAUUCCCCCAAAUAUUAGCUUAGGUCCUUCUGCUUCCGGUAUGAAAUUGUCCAAAAACGGAGAGGGGUGGACUCACCACAGUAUGAGGUCUUCAAAGAGACUGUCAAGGGCCUGGCACAGAAUCUCUGUUAAGGCAGCCACUCACUGUCUCGUAGUCAAAGGGCAGUCCAUAGUCAAACACAGCAAGACAGUAAAAUUAGGGCAAAAUAUAAUAGUCCAGAGUUCUUUCCAAGAAUCAAAGCCAAGCAAUCUCACCAACACAAGCCAUAAUCAAAGUCCAAUCCAAGAAUUCACCAACAGAGAUUUGGGCUGCAGCAGUCCACAACGUUGCUCCCAGCAAGUAACAACUACCAGCUCCAACCUCCAGCUAUUUAUGCCACUUUCACAAGUGCUCUCACUUGUUGGCACUCCAAUUGGAUCUCCUCUGUUGGAAGGCAUCAGUCCUUAAUAGCUGGAAUGAUUAAUUCAUGGUCCAUGACCUGGAGCUCCUGAUCCUACCAUAACCCUCUAUCCCUACUUCUCUGAGCAUCCUGCUCUCUGCUUGCCCCUGACUCAGAUGCUAGGCAAAGAAGCCCUUCAUAUUUGUCCUCAUCACAGGCCCUGACAGAGACAUUGAGUGGACAUCCCUUGGGAGUCCUUUGCUAGUGGGUUCAGGGGUCGGACUAGAUGACCCUUGUGGCCAUGGGACUCCAAGAAAGCCCUGCAACACAUACACUCAGCCUGCCGGGCCUCUGAAAGCCAGGAUAUUGUCCCCAUCAUCACCGUCAAAACCUUUUUCCAGGUAUGAAGACAAGAUUAAACUGUACAGGAUGUUAUAAUGCAACUGGGUUGCCCUGUCCAAAAGGCCCCUGCGGCUGUCGCUCAAAGCCUGUCCUAAUGGGAAAGUUCUCCCCGGCUGGUGGAAAGGCAAGGAGGGCGGAGGGAUUUCCAAGGCAGCGGCCAAGAAGAACAUUUCCCUCUGGACCGUCGGAGCAGCCAGUUGACUCCCGCCAUCCCAUAAAUAACAGCGACUCCAGCAGCAGGUCUGGCAAGCAGCGCUUGCACUCUGACAGCCAGGCUUUCUUCUCCAAAGGAAAAUCCAUUUCCACCUCACAUAACUCAGCCCUGUCAUGAGUUUUUGACCUGAAAAUGUAUGAUUUCAUUGAACAGAUUUCCCCCCCUCAAACCCAUGGCUCACAUUCAUCAACACCUUUUUUCAAAGCCUGCAGAUUCUUCCCACGAAGUGUGUUCUCAGUGAAAGGGUUUUCGUGGUGUUGUGACUGACUGUGAUGGUGGAGACGCAUUGGGAAGGUCCAAAUUCUCAUGGAAAUAGAGCCGAGAUCCUCUUGGUGUCCUACACUUUGCAAAUUCCUUUACACUUGAGGUUGUACUUUUGGGAAAGCUGACGUACGCCAUUCGCGGUUGGGUUCAAUUGAGUUCCAAUUUCACAGCAGACCAGAUACUAUCUAAUGUCCAUCCGGUAUUUAAAUCUAUGGGAUUUGCCUCCGCGUCGAGUCAGCGUCCAAUUCAAUGGGUCUGAUCUGUUUGGGAUUAGAAUGUCAGCCAUGUGGUUGUACAUUCCUGGCCGGUGCGCUUCUCUCCUUCCUCCAUGUCUUUUGUGUGCCAUUGAUCCCCUGGGAUUGCAGAAACGGCCCCAUUGCACAUGGGACAAUGAGCAUCAUUAGUAUUGAGCAGACGGGUGAUGUGUGUGAGACUGUAUAUUUGCCGUUGGUGAGCAAGAGAGAGAAAAUAGCAUUCCUGAGAAUGCUAUUCCUGAGGCCGACGAACUUGCCAUAAUAAUUCCACACGGAAUCAAUGCCGUGGUAGGGGAAUGAGUGGUCUUUGCUGCAAUGGUCAGAUUAUGAUUCAAAAGUCUUGACUGGCUUGCAGGCUUCCAUAUUUGUGAACAUCAAGAUUGCUUCCAAAGGCAAGACCAAUUGCUUCAAUCUUUCUGAGAGCACUCAAAGAAUACCAUUCUGAGAUAAAAUGAUCCGAUAGCAGAGAGGGAGGUUCGGGUGCGAGGAGGAGAGAGUCCUCGUUCUGUGCCCAGACUGGGCUUACUUUUGCUGCUUUUGUGAACGGCCCCUUCCCUUCUUCCUGUCCGGCCCUUUUCUCUCCCAAAUUCCAGUGCAUCCCUCCAUCAGCAGGUUGGGCAUUGUCUUCUGCCCGGAGAGCAUUAGUGCUGAUGGAGCGGCUUUGGCAUCUCUCUGUGUGGGAAAUGGCAUUUGUCUGAUCCAUUGACUGGAACAACCACGUUGAGCUCCCUAAAUCCCAGCUGCUUUUCUGACAGCUCACGGAAGCUUCGCUCUGGCUGUUCAUUCGGCCGGGGAUUUGGGAUAUUUGCGUCUGUGAGAGGGAGAUUAUUAUUCCCAUCGUUCGGGCGGAGGGAGAGAGAUGGGGAGGGGUCCUCGGGGGGGGCUGGCUUCCAUCUCCAUCCACCGAAAGGCCCAGGACGCAUUCACAGGACGGCCUCCCGCACGGGGCCCAUUGAGGCCCAGAGGAAGGGGCCGCACAUGGGUGCGCAACCCGUGAUUUUCUCCGCGGCGGUGGCCUUCUCAAACACCAUGCGUGUGGAUGGGAAAGAUAGCAUCCUGCAGGGCCGGAGAUACGUUGAGAUGGGAAAGGGGGAAUCAUCUCAGGCGGGGGGCAGAGAGGGAGAUGGAGAGAUUGCUGCCUAUUCUAAUAUAUUUGCAAAUGUAUCAGGUUGCAGGAGAUGGGUCUCUCUCUCUUGCUUGGGGCUGAUGGAGUCUGUGCCAUUGGCAUUGCAGCCAGGAGGAAAGAACAAAACCCUCCAGAGUCCUGGCUUGAUGAUAAUUUAUUUAUUUACAGUAUUUAUAUUCCGCCCUUCUUUCUCACCCCGAAGGGGACUCAGGGCGGAUUACAAUGAACACAUAUAUGGCAAACGUUCAAUGCCAACAAACAAACAACAUACAGUAUAGACAGACACAGAGGCAUUUAGCAUUUUUCCAGCUUCACGAUUCCGGCCACAGGGGGAGCUGUUGCUUCACCGUCCACUAGUGGCUGUACAUCCUCAUUCCUUUCCUCGUGUUUUGCUGGCAGUUUUAUGGUGUUGUAAAUUAGUUAAAUUAGCCUCCCGCAUAAAGCGUACCUAAAUUUCCCUACUUGACAGAUGCAACUGUCUUUCGGGGCUGCAUAGGUCAACAGCAAGCCGGGCUAUUUAAUGGUCGGGGGCUUAACCCAACCCGGGCUUCGAACUCAUGACCUCUCGGUCAGUAGUGAUUUAUUGCAGCUGGUUACUAGCCAGCUGCGCCACUGGCUAGUAUAUAAAUAUUAUUAUUUAUAAUAAUAAAAUAUGACUAUCGCUAUUGUUAUGAUAUAUUACUACCUCCUCUUGUGGCUCAAGGCGGGGUCCGCUCUGGCACAACUAAGCCUUGAAGAUCUCAAGCGAUGAGCAAUGGAAGACCUUGUAAGGUUGGAAUGACUUGUAAGGUUGCCUUUCAGAAUCAGCUUGCAAACAGUGCCAGAACCGCAGACGUGGGGCCUGUCCAACGAGGUUUCCACAAAUCCCAAUCUCCUAAAGGAAAGGUCUGAGCGAAGGCUUAAUGGACUUCCACUCACCUGGGACAAGAUGGGCUCAUUGUUGUGGAAGAAGAGAAGGAGAGGUCCUCCACACUCAUAAAACAUGGGCCGUUCUUCCAUCUCCAGGAGAGACACACAAAGCCACAGGUCCUCCAUUAGUACUCUGGGCAUAAAUCAAUGGGAUUCGUCCAAUUCUGUUGGGAAGUAUUUUGUUUCUGGAAGUCUGAGAUGCAGAGAUAUCAUGUCGUGAGAACAUCGGAGGCUCUGGAAGAUGGUUGCAAGUCCCAUCCCUCUUUGAUGAAGAUACAAGAAGUGCACAGAUGGAAGCGGCGGUAGAGGCAACCCAGUCCAUUAUGUGCCUUAUGUCUAUUAUGUGCGUCAGGACAUGAACACAUCCAUUAAGGUUCUGGUUGUAUGUUUGGAGGGCAGCUUUCAUGCUCUGGAUGUUCUUCUUGCAGCAGCCAGAUGAGCAGCCAGACGCCUGCAAGAUGUGUUUAUUUGUCUCCCGCCCCGUCCAGCAGCCACGAGUGAUUUGCACCCGGCCGGGAAGACACACAUUUCAGACUUCCAUGUUACUAUUAUUUAUGCAUCUGAAAUAUUUAUACCUUGUCUUUCAGUGCAGUUUUUCAAGGCGGCCUCGUGGUUGAGAUUAAAAACAAUACAUCAGCGCCGACCGAGACGCGCCACACGCGAGGAGCGGAAGGUCUGGCUCAGUCGAGGAGGAUUUCUUUUAUGAAGAGAAUGAGCUGAGCAUUGCUGGAGCAAGAGUGCCUGCAGUCAUUAAAAAACAGGUUCACACCAGGUUCUGUUUGGGUUCUCCAAAAUGGAUUCACACCGGGGGGGGGGGGGGUUGCAGCUGCUUUGAGUCUCCUUGUAAAGAGAAAAAUCAUGUAUAAAUAAUGAUGAUGAUGAUGUUAGAUAGAAAUGGCAAAGUAUUUCUAAUCAUGGAAGAAAGACAGCCACUAAUGACCUAUCAGCAGGUGGCGAUAUAAAGACUAUGAAGGAAUCCGUCUUCCUCUCUCCUGUGUGACUCAGUGCGAGUAUCUGCCUAUGUUGUAUGUUUUGACUCUGAUUGUUUGCAAGCACAGGGAAUGAGGAUCUGCAAAUCCUGAUUGUAUUUUUGUAUAUAUUGCAACAGUGAAGAUUAAAGGCUCUGGAUAUUCUGAAUGAAAACUUGAAUCCAUGAGUUUACUAAGCAGCGUAUAGAUGUUGGCAGUCGGACUCUGCUGGUAGACAGGCUGAAGUGUGUUUUGAUGUGAAGGGACUCUGCUGCAUUUUGCUUGCUUCUGGGACACUUGCGAUCCAGCUUGCAGCAGUUCAGGGAGGUUGUGAUGUGGAAACUAUAAAUAACUUCACGUACCAGCAUCCUGCGACAAAUAAUGAUGAUGAUAAUAGCAACAACAACAACAACAACAACAACAACAAAAUUGUGGCCAAGAUUUUGGCAAAAAAGGUACACAUGUUCAAGGGAGAGUUUGUUCAGCAGGUUGCAAUGCACUGGAUUCUAGAACUGGAGGGGACCCCAAAGGCCAUCUAGUCCAACUAUGCAGGAAAGCCCAACUCCAGCACUCCCGGAAGUGUGGGCUGACCACAGAAUGGGCUGCACUUAAUAAUAAUAAUAAUAAUAAUAAUAAUAAUAAUAAUAAUAAUAACUUUAUUUUUAUACCCCGCCCCAUCUCCCCGAAGGGACUCGGGGCGGCUUACAUGGGCCCUUGCCCGAUAAGACAAUCAAUAUCAAUAGCACGACUAUAAAACAAUUAUACCAGUAAAACAUCAAUAGCAAUAAAACAAUCGUUAAAAUCAGCAAAAAGCAUAUAAAAAACAUACAAUAUUAAAACAGGAGACUAAUUCAUCAAAUCCAGAACAGAAUGUGCCAGUAGAAAUGGACAAUAAAGUGCAAAGGCCCCUUAGUAGACCUUUCAGCCAAUGGGAGAUGACUGGAUGUCGGAUCAUGAUGUCAACCAGGUUGAGGGGACCCCAGAGGCCAUCUAGUCCAGCUAUGUAGGAAAGCCCAACUCCAGCACUCCCGGAAGUGUGGGCUGACCACAGAAUGGGCUGCACUUAGGCCCCUUAGUAGACCUUUCAGCCAAUGGGAGAUGACUGGAUGUCAGACUAUGAUGUCAACCAGGUUGAGGGGACCCCAAAGGCCAUCUAGUCCAGCUAUGCAGGAAAGCCCAACUCCAGCACUCCCGGAAGUGUGGGCUGACCACAGAAUGGGCUGCACUUAGGCCCCUUGGUAAACCUUUCAGCCAAUGGGAGAUGACUGGAUGUCGGACCAUGAUGUGUGUCAACAAGGUUGAGAAUCUGCACCACAGAUUACAUUGUGUGAAUUCACGCAUCCUCAUCUGUACUUCAAAUGGCUUUCCUCUUCCCUGCUUUUGCAAAAACAGCUGCUUGGAAGGAACUGAAUUCCUUAUUAUGCCGGGAGGAAAAAAGCGCUCAGCCAGGCCUCCUUCCUUUCCUUUCCUUUCCAUUGAGAGUGGAAGGAAGAGGUGUCGCCUUCAGCAGAAUGAGGCAACUGCUUUGUGGUUUUUGUGCAAAUCAAACAUUUCCUGCCGCAAAGAUGUCAUUUCGGAGGAAUAACUGGGCCGCUGGAGGAGACCUCGCUUGCCCUCGCUCGUCACGAAGGCUUUGGCGCAGGACUCAGUUGUGCGCACAGAUGUUGCAACAUUGCACCACUGGAAGUAGAAUGACAGAAUUGUAGAAUUGGAGGAGACCACAUGGACCAUCCAGUCCACCCAAUGCAUCUAUGCACGAACCCCGUUUUUUGGCAACCAAUAUCAAUGUGCAAACAUCCACAAGUGCUGAUGCAUAUAUCAUGGCGCUCCCGCAGCCUGGAAACGACCGCAGCCGAUGCGUAUCGAGCACGAAUGGCCAUCUGUUCCCGUGGGAGGCUGCGGAGGACGUACGCCACUGUUAAAAAGCCACAAAUGACAAAGAUCAAACGUGGCAUCGACCCCAAAAUGACGGGCUGCAGAUGCCUGAUCAAACAGAAGAAGAGCAGCGCAAGCAAAGGGAAGCCGGAGACCGUCAAGGGCUGGAAAUGAAGCCGGGUUCUCUGCUGAGGCUCAGGCUUGGAUGGUCCUGGCCUUCUCCUCCUUCCUUCAGAGCCGCCCAAGUGGCUGCCGGCUAAGAAUAUAAUUGCUUUGCUUUAAUUGCAUUUGCGGAAGGGAAGGGGAGCGUGUGCAGCCGUGUCUGCUCUGCCGCUGUUGUGCAUCUGCACACAUUUUGCACACACACAUACAUAGACACACCCAGUGGCACACGGCAGGUAAAAGGAAGGGGAGGCCAGUGGAGUGGAAACCCAAAUCGAGAGGGAAGAAGGAGGGAACGAAGCGGAGGCAGAGGCGGCGGAGGCGGAGGAGUGUUGGGAGAUGGUAAUGAGGGCAGGUCCGUCCUGGGCGGAUUCUGCUGGGUCGGCAGCGGGAGGCUCCUCGCCCGGCAGCUGCGGGGAUGAUUUAUUACACGCUCACUACAUUUGCCCCGUAGGAAGGUAAAUAAAACGUACACACUGUCCCAUUUACUCAGACAAUCGAGGGAUAUGACCUAAUUUCUCUUCGGCUGCAAAUGUUUCUCUCCGCGCGAUAGGACUCCCGGGAAGUGCGCCGAUCCUCAUUUCCACAUCCAGGAAUGCAGCAGCACCCCAUCUCUCAGUCAGCGGGGCCAGGAAGGUGCCCAUGCUCCAUGUGCCGUAUAUACUCAAGUAUGAGGCAACCCGAAUACAAGCCAAGGCACCUCCACAAAAAACUGGGAAAACGUAUUGACUCGAGUCUAAGACGAAAGUGGGAAAUGAAACAGCUACUGGUAAAUUUCAAAAAUAAAAACAGAUACCAAAAAUUACAUUAAUUGAGGCAUCAUUAGGUUACAUGUUUUUGAAUAUUUACAUAAAACGGUAAUUUGACAUAAUAACAAGACUGCCCAACUCUGAUUUCCUAUAUACUAUAUAUACCCAGCUCAUUGUAUGUUCCUAUAUACCCAGCUCAUUGUAUGUUUUUUAUUGCUGUGUUUGUCAUGUGUUUUAUAAUGAUCGUGAUUUUUAAUGCCUUUUAAAUGUAUUUGUGUGUUUUUGUAUUUGAUAUUACUGUAUGCUGGUUUUAUAUCUGUAAGCCGCCCCGAGUCCCUCUGGGGAGAUGGUGGCGGGGUACAAAAAUAAAAUUAUUAUUAUUAUUA